UUGACGCAGCACUAUAAAGCAUAGCAACCCAUUCACUUUCUUUUUCCGUGAAAAUGACAAACUGGUUUGUGCGUUUCAUUGGAGAGAACGUGGGGUGACCUUGAGCGAUGGCUGAAAAGGUGUGUGGAUGCGCAUCAGUAGAACAUGCCUGGCUCUCCUCCACCAGUCAUACAAGGAGAAUGGUCUAAUGGCUCCAAUCAAAAAAGAGAGCUGGCCAAAGCAAGCAUGGGUUACACCUGAAGCAUAAGACCUUGAACUUCAUCAACAACUACGCAGAGGAUAAUGCAAUAGUAUUACCAGAACACCACCCAGGACACAAAUACUUUGGUGGAAAGCUGCUGCCAUCUCAUGUGACAAAAGCAGCAGUGUGGCAUCUCUACAAGAAAUCGAUGACAACACUUGAGGUACGUGUAGUCAGGCUGUCUUCCUUCACGAAUCUGUGGAGAAAUUUGCUGCCCCACAUCUCAAGCACCAAGCCCAGGACAGACCUGUGCUGGCAGUGCAAUGGGAACAACUAUGAGGUCUUCUGAUCUGCCACUCUGCCAGAAGCUGUUAAAUCAGCCAAGCUGAAGAAGCAAGAGCAGCAUCUCAUGCUUGUUCAAUGAGCGGUCUGUCUACCAGAAGAUAGUUGCUAACUGCAAAACCACCUGUCAAGACCUGCAGUUGUCUCUGGUGGCCCCUACUGAACCAGCAAGCAAAUACAUCAGGAUGCAUUACAGCUUUGAUUUUGCUCAACAAGUAAGCAACAUAUUCUCCUUUAUACUGAUUAAGGACAUAGAUGGAUAGAUAUAA
Salvelinus fontinalis (brook trout) is the source of this 792-nucleotide long non-coding RNA. RefSeq lists it as uncharacterized. Lineage: Eukaryota; Metazoa; Chordata; Actinopteri; Salmoniformes; Salmonidae. The record is from RefSeq and is a predicted model, not a curated record. The transcript is spliced from 3 exons.